This 440-nucleotide ribosomal RNA is filed under the name uncultured bacterium. RNAcentral's name for it is "partial 16S ribosomal RNA". It matches the Rfam family "Bacterial small subunit ribosomal RNA", at positions 338 to 795 of the family's 1533-position model. The record is from RNAcentral.
CCUACGGGUGGCAGCAGUGGGGAAUAUUGCACAAUGGGGGGAACCCUGAUGCAGCGACGCCGCGUGGGUGAGGAAGUACUUCGGUAUGUAAAGCCCUAUCUGCCGGGCCGAAAAUGACGGUACCUGACUAAGUAGCCACGGAUAACUACGUGACAGCAGCCGCGGUAAUACCGAGGGGGCAAGCGUUAUCCGGAUUUACUGGGUUUAAAGGGUGCGUAGUCGGGGUGGCAAGUCGGUCGGGAAAGGCCGGGGCUGAACCCCAGGACGGCCUUGGCAACUGGCCUGCUGGAGGGCGGGAGGGGGAAGCGGAAUGCGUGGUGUAGCGGUGAAAUGCGUAGAUAUUACGAGGAACACCGGUGGCGAAGGCGGCUUGCUGGACGGUAACUGACGUUGAGGCUCGAAAGCGUGGGGAGCAAACAGGAUUAGAUACCCGAGUAGUC